GGCAAAAGCUCAAAUUUGAAAUCCUUCGGGAAUUGUAUUUUGAAGGUGGGUUUGGUUAGGAAAAGUUACUUUAAGUCCAUUGGAAAAUGGCGCCAUGGAGGGUGAUAGCCCCGUAAAAGUAUCCCUUUUCCUUUUAUCCAUUCCCUCCAAAGAGUCGAGUUGUUUGGGAAUGCAGCUCUAAGUGGGUGGUAAAUUCCAUCUAAAGCUAAAUAUUGGCGAGAGACCGAUAGCGAACAAGUACAGUGAUGGAAAGAUGAAAAGCACUUUGAAAAGAGAGUGAAAAAGUACGUGAAAUUGUUGAAAGGGAAGGGCUUGCAAGCAGACACAACCUCGGUUGGGCCAGCAUCGGAGUGGGGGGAGACAAAAAAGAAAAGGAAUGUAACUCUUU
RNAcentral lists this ribosomal RNA (388 nucleotides) under Metschnikowia reukaufii. RNAcentral describes it as "partial large subunit ribosomal RNA". It matches the Rfam family "Eukaryotic large subunit ribosomal RNA", at positions 100 to 484 of the family's 3401-position model. Lineage: Eukaryota; Fungi; Ascomycota; Pichiomycetes; Serinales; Metschnikowiaceae. The record is from RNAcentral.